Molecule: ribosomal RNA, 433 nt
Filed under: uncultured bacterium
Lineage: Bacteria
Description: partial 16S ribosomal RNA
Rfam family: Bacterial small subunit ribosomal RNA
Source: RNAcentral
AACGAACGCUGGCGGCAUGCCUAACACAUGCAAGUCGAACGAGACCUUCGGGUCUAGUGGCGCACGGGUGCGUAACGCGUGGGAACCUGCCCUUAGGUUCGGAAUAACUCCCCGAAAGGGGUGCUAAUACCGGAUAAUGUCUUCGGACCAAAGAUUUAUCGCCUUUGGAUGGGCCCGCGUUGGAUUAGCUAGUUGGUAGGGUAAAAGACUACCAAGGCGACGAUCCAUAGCUGGUCUGAGAGGAUGAUCAGCCACACUGGGACUGAGACACGGCCCAGACUCCUACGGGAGGCAGGAGUGGGGAAUAUUGGACAAUGGGCGAAAGCCUGAUCCAGCAAUGCCGCGUGAGUGAUGAAGGCCUUAGGGUUGUAAAGCUCUUUUACCCGGGAUGAUAAUGACAGUACCGGGAGAAUAAGCUCCGGCUAACUCCGUG